GGAUUAGGCAUGCAAGUCGAGCGAUCGUAGCAAUACGGGAGCGGCAAACGGGGUAGGAAUACAUCGGAACGUACCCUCUGGUCGAGGAUAGCGUCGGGAAACUGACGGUAAUACUCGAUAAAGUCGAGAGACCAAAGGUUUACUGCCGGAGGAGCGGCCGAUGCGAUAUUAGGUAGUUGGUGGGGUAACGGCCUACCAAGCCUGAGAUGUCUAGGGGGUGUGAGAGCAUGGCCCCCACCACUGGGACUGAGAGACUGCCCAGACACCUACGGGUGGCUGCAGUCGAGGAUCUUCGUCAAUGGGCGAAAGCCUGAACGAGCGACGCCGCGUGCGGGAUGAAGGCCCUUGGGUUGUAAACCGCUGUCAGGGGGGAUGAAACCGUAAGGUUGACAGAGCCCCAGAGGAAGCACGGGCUAAGUUCGUGCCAGCAGCCGCGGUAAUA
RNAcentral lists this ribosomal RNA (442 nucleotides) under uncultured bacterium. RNAcentral describes it as "bacterial SSU rRNA". It matches the Rfam family "Bacterial small subunit ribosomal RNA", at positions 46 to 525 of the family's 1533-position model. The record is from RNAcentral.